This 233-nucleotide unclassified non-coding RNA is filed under the name Hevea brasiliensis (rubber tree). Lineage: Eukaryota; Viridiplantae; Streptophyta; Magnoliopsida; Malpighiales; Euphorbiaceae. The record is from RNAcentral.
AAUAAAUCAAAGUAACUUUAAAAUUUUAUAUCUAACUACUCAUUCAGCCAAAUUGCCAUUACAAAAUAACAUCAUUAUAAAUUAGGUACAUCAAUUACCAUAUUAAAAAGAAAAAUUAAUGUCUAUAUCCAACUAAUCAAUUCCAACUUGAAGGUACUAUCUAAUCAAAUAAUCAAUGAGCCAAACUGUUCUUGACUUGUUAAGCUUUGUUUUUAGGUGCAAUCAACUGUUUA